This 506-nucleotide ribosomal RNA is filed under the name uncultured bacterium. RNAcentral describes it as "bacterial SSU rRNA". It matches the Rfam family "Bacterial small subunit ribosomal RNA", at positions 28 to 578 of the family's 1533-position model. The record is from RNAcentral.
AGCGAACGCUGGCGGCAGGCCUAACACAUGCAAGUCGAACGCUCGUAGCAAUACGAGAGUGGCAGACGGGUGAGUAACGCGUGGGAACGUGCCCUUCGGUUCGGAAUAACCCGGGGAAACUCGGGCUAAUACCGAAUACGUCCGUAAGGAGAAAGAUUUAUCGCCGAAGGAUCGGCCCGCGUCGGAUUAGCUAGUUGGUGAGGUAAUGGCUCACCAAGGCGAUGAUCCGUAGCUGGUCUGAGAGGACGAUCAGCCACACUGGGACUGAGACACGGCCCAGACUCCUACGGGAGGCAGCAGUGGGGAAUAUUGGACAAUGGGCGCAAGCCUGAUCCAGCCAUGCCGCGUGAGUGAUGAAGGCCUUAGGGUUGUAAAGCUCUUUUAGCGGGGACGAUAAUGACGGUACCCGCAGAAAAAGCCCCGGCUAACUUCGUGCCAGCAGCCGCGGUAAUACGAAGGGGGCUAGCGUUGCUCGGAAUCACUGGGCGUAAAGCGCACGUAGGUGG